UUUCCGGUUGAUCCCGCCGGAGGCCAUUGCUAUCGGAGUCCGAUUUAGCCAUGCUAGUCGUGCGAGUUCAGACUCGCGGCACCGAGCUCAGUAACACGUGGCCAAACUACCCUACAGAGACGGAUACCCUCGGGAAACUGAGGUUAACCCGUCAUAUCGAUCUCAGGCUUGAAUCGCAGAGAUCACAAAAUGCCCCGGCGCUGUAGGAUGUGGCUGCGGUUGAUUAGGUAGACGGUGGGGUAACGGCCCACCGUGCCCAUAAUCAGUACAGGUUGUGAGAGCAAGAACCUGGAGACGGAAUCUGAGACAAGAUUCCGGGCCCUACGGGGCGCAGCAGGCGCGAAACCUUUACACUGCACGCACGUGCGAUAAGGGGACUCCGAGUGCGAGGGCAUAUCGUCCUCGCUUUCGUGUACCGUAGGGUGGUACACCAACAAGGGCUGGGCAAGACCGGUGCCAGCCGCCGCGGUAAUACCGGCAGCCCGAGUGAUGACCGAUCUUAUUGGGCCUAAAGCGUCCGUAGCUGGCCGACCAAGUCUACCGGGAAAUCCACCCGCCCAACGGGUGGGCGUCCGGCGGAAACUGUGUGGCUUGGAACCGGAAGGCUCAGAGGGUACGUCCGGGGUAGGAGUGAAAUCCCGUAAUCCCGGACGGACCACCGAUGGCGAAAGCACUCUGAGAAGACGGCUUCGACAGUGAGGGACGAAAGCUAGGGUCUCAAACCGGAUUAGAUACCCGGGUAGUCCUAGCUGUAAACGAUGCUCGUUAGGUGUGGCACCCACUACGAGUGGGUGCUGUGCCGCAGGGAAGCCGCUAAACGAGCCGCCUGGGAAGUACGUCCGCAAGGAUGAAACUUAAAGGAAUUGGCGGGGGAGCACUACAACCGGAGGAGCCUGCGGUUUAAUUGGAUUCAACGCCGGAA
RNAcentral lists this ribosomal RNA (922 nucleotides) under uncultured archaeon. RNAcentral describes it as "bacterial SSU rRNA". It matches the Rfam family "Archaeal small subunit ribosomal RNA", at positions 1 to 923 of the family's 1478-position model. The record is from RNAcentral.